AGACGAGGCUACCGCCUCUCCUCAGCCCGAACGGCAUCGAAGUAACGACUGGAUAAAACAACGUUCUUAUCCGAAACUCACG
Legionella shakespearei DSM 23087 is the source of this 82-nucleotide small RNA. It matches the Rfam family "Legionella RNA 69". The record is from Rfam. Lineage: Bacteria; Pseudomonadati; Pseudomonadota; Gammaproteobacteria; Legionellales; Legionellaceae.